RNAcentral lists this non-coding RNA (24 nucleotides) under Arabidopsis thaliana (thale cress). The record is from RNAcentral. Lineage: Eukaryota; Viridiplantae; Streptophyta; Magnoliopsida; Brassicales; Brassicaceae.
CAAUAGGUGGAAAGGCACAUAUCU